RNAcentral lists this ribosomal RNA (706 nucleotides) under uncultured bacterium. RNAcentral's name for it is "bacterial SSU rRNA". It matches the Rfam family "Bacterial small subunit ribosomal RNA", at positions 62 to 765 of the family's 1533-position model. The record is from RNAcentral.
UCGAACGAAGCUUGACGAAAGAUUUCUUCGGAAUGAAUUCUGAUAUGACUGAGUGGCGGACGGGUGAGUAACGCGUGAGCAACCUGCCCUUCGGAGGGGGGAUAGUGUCUGGAAACGGACAGUAAUACCGCAUAAUGUAUUUUUACCGCAUGAUAGAAAUACCAAAACUGAGGUGCCGAAGGAUGGGCUCGCGUUGGAUUAGAUAGUUGGUGGGGUAACGGCCUACCAAGUCAACGAUCCAUAGCCGGACUGAGAGGUUGAACGGCCACAUUGGGACUGAGACACGGCCCAGACUCCUACGGGAGGCAGCAGUGGGGAAUAUUGCACAAUGGGGGAAACCCUGAUGCAGCAACGCCGCGUGAAGGAAGACGGUUUUCGGAUUGUAAACUUCUGUUCUUAGUGAAGAAAAAUGACGGUAGCUAAGGAGCAAGCCACGGCUAACUACGUGCCAGCAGCCGCGGUAAUACGUAGGUGGCAAGCGUUGUCCGGAAUUACUGGGUGUAAAGGGAGCGCAGGCGGGAAGCCAAGUCAGCUGUGAAAACUACGGGCUUAACCUGUAGACUGCAGUUGAAACUGGUUUUCUUGAGUGAAGUAGAGGUUGGCGGAAUUCCGAGUGUAGCGGUGAAAUGCGUAGAUAUUGGGAGGAACACCGGUGGCGAAGGCGGCCAACUGGGCUUUAACUGACGCUGAGGCUCGAAAGUGUGGG